GACGAACGCUGGCGGCGUGCUUAACACAUGCAAGUCGAACGGUGAAGCGCCUUCCUUUUUGGUGGGUGUGGAUGAGUGGCGAACGGGUGAGUAACACGUGAGUAACCUGCCCCCUUCUUCUGGAUAACCGCAUGAAAGUGUGGCUAAUACGGGAUAUUCUGGGUCUGUCGCAUGAUGGGUCUGGGAAAGGUAUUGGUUCGGUGGGGGAUGGGCUCGCGGCCUAUCAGCUUGUUGGUGGGGUGAUGGCCUACCAAGGCGGUGACGGGUAGCCGGUCUGAGAGGGUGGACGGUCACACUGGGACUGGGCCACGGCCGAGACUCCUACGGGCGGCAGCAGUGGGGAAUGUUGCACAAUGGGCGAUAGCCUGAUGCAGCGACGCCGCGUGCGGGAUGGAGGCCUUCGGGUUGUGAACCUCUUUCGCCAGUGACGCAGGCCUGCCUCGUUUGUGGGUGGGUUGACGGUAGCUGGAUAAGAAGCGCCGGCUAACUACGUG
Molecule: ribosomal RNA, 494 nt
Filed under: uncultured bacterium
Lineage: Bacteria
Description: partial 16S ribosomal RNA
Rfam family: Bacterial small subunit ribosomal RNA
Source: RNAcentral